RNAcentral lists this ribosomal RNA (229 nucleotides) under uncultured bacterium. RNAcentral describes it as "partial 16S ribosomal RNA". It matches the Rfam family "Bacterial small subunit ribosomal RNA", at positions 568 to 796 of the family's 1533-position model. The record is from RNAcentral.
UACGUAGGCGGAAAAUUAAGUCAGUAGUGAAAUCCUGCAGCUUAACUGUAGAACUGUUAUUGAUACUGGUUUUCCUGAAUAUAGUUGAGGUAGGCGGAAUGUGUAAUGUAGCGGUGAAAUGCUUAGAUAUUACACAGAACACCGAUUGCGAAGGCAGCUUACUAAGCUAUGAUUGACGCUGAGGUACGAAAGCGUGGGGAGCGAACAGGAUUAGAUACCCUGGUAGUCC